RNAcentral lists this long non-coding RNA (747 nucleotides) under Rattus norvegicus (Norway rat). RNAcentral describes it as "long non-coding RNA NONRATT028862". The record is from RNAcentral. Lineage: Eukaryota; Metazoa; Chordata; Mammalia; Rodentia; Muridae.
UGCUCCCGAGUACAUGACUAGAUUUUACAGAGUGAUAGUAACGUUGAAAUUGUUAGAUUAUGGGUAAUUGUUGUUGUAAUACACAAGUUGCACCUGAACAUACAACUGUCCUACCUUCCAGUACCGAAGGAAAAUAUUCCAAGUCCUCAGUGAAGGUGGAUCAUAGAAGAGUCCAAAAGACGAUCAAUAUGCUGCAAAAUAGUCAUGAAAGGAAUGUGGUUGUUCCCGUGGAUGCCAAAGAAGCUGAAUCCCAUGCUUCCACGUCCAGAGGAGUAACACAGAGUGGAACUAAAGUAAGAAGAGAGAGUGGAAUAGUGGGGUCAUCCGUGUCCUCAGCACUAUCACAUCAACCGCUGCAGGCAGGCACAGCAAGAGAGAGUGGAAAAGUGAGGUCAUCCUUGUCCUCGGCACUAUCAUGUCAACCCCUGCAGGCAGGAACAGUGUUACCUAUCCGUGCAGACAGUGCAAGUUCAGACGAGGACCAGGAAAAAUCACCACUAAGGCUAGUUAAGGUAUCAUCUAAGAAAAGCAAACAUGGGUCCAACAUUUUAAGAACUAUGCAGCGGAAGGGGACCAUUUUCCUUAUUGAUCCUGAAGUGUGUCAAUUUAUAGAUGAAAUUCGCAAAGACAAAAUGAAAAAUGAAAUGGAAGUGGUACCUUUACGUAUAGACACUACAACUUUGCCACACAAUGAGGAAAAAGCACCGGUGAAGCCAGUAGAGGUGUCAUCUAAAAAACGCAGAUGUG